CUAUCAAAGAUCCAAGUUUGCCAUCCAGAAAUCCCCCAAUUUCCCUAACAAAAACAAAAAGCGACGGCUACACGAGGAAAGAAAGAGAAAAACCAACGCAAAGCAAGCAAUUUUAGAGAGAGAGAAGUUGAACCAGAACCAGAGACAGAGAGCGAAAGUUGUGUUCUUGUUUGUCUUGGCGUGUUUAAGGCAUUAAUGGCGGAGGGUAAAAAAGAAAAGAACUCCAACGAAGAAAGCGUCAAGCUAUUCGUAGGUCAAGUGCCCAAACACAUGACCGAAGCUCAACUUCUUUCAAUGUUUAAAGAGUUCGCUCUGGUCGACGAGGUCAACAUCAUCAAAGACAAGACCACUCGCGCCUCCAGAGGGUGUUGUUUUGUAAUAUGUCCGUCGAGACAGGAGGCUGAUAAGGCGGUCAAUGCCUGUCAUAAUAAGAAGACACUUCCAGGGGCAUCUAGCCCGUUGCAAGUGAAAUAUGCAGAUGGCGAAUUGGAGAGGCUCGAACAUAAGCUCUUUGUAGGUAUGCUGCCAAAGAAUGUUUCGGAGGCUGAAGUUUCUGUUUUGUUUUCUAAAUAUGGAACAAUAACAGAUUUACAAAUUUUAAGAGGUUCUCAGCAAACGAGUAAAGGUUGUGCUUUUCUGAAGUACGAGACAAAAGAACAAGCCCUUGCUGCCCUGGAGGCUAUCAAUGGAAAAUAUAGAAUGGAGGGUUCAAAUGUUCCUUUGGUUGUCAAAUGGGCAGAUACAGAAAAGGAAAGACAAGCAAGAAGGGCCCAGAAAGCUCAAUCCCAGGCCUCUAAUGUACCAAAUGCUGAUUCACAACAUCCCUCUUUGUUUGGAGCCUUGCCAGUUGGGUAUGUUCCCCCAUAUAAUGGAUAUGGAUAUCAGGCUCCUGGAGCCUAUGGACUUAUGCAGUACCGCCUACCACCAAUGCAGAAUCAACAUGCCUUUCAUGGUAUAAUCCCUCCUGUAAAUCAAGGGAAUGCACUGCACGGUGCCGUGCCUGACCUCUCACCCAAUAUGGGCCAUAGAAAUUAUGCAAUGCCUCCUGCAAGUUAUGUGGGCUCAGGCUAUCCUAAUGUACCUGGCCUUCAAUACCCAAUGGCAUAUCCUGGAGGAAUGUAUGGUCAGCGACCUUUGAGCAGUUCACCUGUUUCAGUCACAACUGCAAGUGCAAACAGUAACCCAGCUGCCUCAUCUAGUCCUGGUACAAGUUCUGGGGGUCAGCUUGAAGGUCCACCGGGUGCUAAUCUAUUUAUUUAUCACAUACCUCAAGAAUUUGGUGACCAAGAGCUUGCCAAUGCUUUUCAACAAUUUGGUAGGGUCCUGAGUGCCAAAGUUUUUGUUGAUAAAGCAACUGGUGUAAGCAAAUGUUUUGGAUUUGUCAGUUAUGAGUUACCUGCUGCUGCUCAAAAUGCCAUUGCUAUGAUGCAUGGCUGUCAAUUAGGUGGUAAGAAACUGAAAGUUCAGCUUAAGAGAGACAACAAACAGAAUAAACCUUAUUGAUUGGAAGGAAUCACGAAGUAGUCCAUUGUGUUGGAGAUACUUAAAGAUUUUCAAGUAGCCAGAGAUAGUUGACUGACAAAGAUAGGAUGAAGAGUUACAUUGUUGUUUGGGGAUAUGAGUGGAGUGACUCUUUCUAGUUCUUGGGUUUAUUUCCUCUUGCCCUGUGAAGAAGUUGAACUUGUAUGCACAGGGCUUUUCAGCUUCAACUUGCUUUCUGCAACCUAUUGAUAUUUUUUAUUGCAUUGCUGAAGGUUCAAAGACGACACGAAGAAAUACGCUGUACAAAAGCUUUCUGUCCCCAUAUCUGGGUGAUGAGUGCCUUUUUUUUUUUUCACCUUGCACUUUCAUUUUCUUCCCAGGCUUUUCAGCUUCGAGUAGCUUUCUGCAACCUAUUGCUAAUUUUUUAUUGCAUUGCUGAAGGUUUCAAAGACGACAUGAAGAAAUAUGCAGUACAAAAGCUUUCUAUCCCCAUAUCUGAGUGAUGAGUGCCUUCUUUUUUUUCACCUUGCAAAUCCUCAUUCUGAUGAGAUUCUGCCUCUUAGUUGCAUUCUAAUUUUAUGUACUUCUAUCACAUUACACUUACACAGUUGAAGACCAGCACAGGAGAGUCAGGGAGCGAUUUCAAUAGUUGUAACUCAAUUAGGGACUUGAAACUUUGAGAGUUUGGCUCAUUAUAAUAGCACUUCUUGAUUUUGAUUUCCAGCUUUUUAUGCAUUAUUUAGAUAUUGCCACAGCAAGUUUUUCAGGUGCCAGUUUGUCUUUUUCAAAAAGUACAACCUUAUCAAGUGCAGGAAGGACAUCUGGAAGAUAAAAGUGAAGGUGGUUCAGUGCUGAGCAAUUCUCGAGUCCGCUGUAGUGUACCGUGCUUCUUCAAUUUUCGAUCAUAAAUGGUGGAAAAGCAUUUGAGGUUGUCUAGGCUUUGGAGCUGCGUGGUAGCUUUACCUGGAGGAUUAAAUAAGAACCACAUGGAGAUUGCUGAGUAGUUGAGAGAAUCACGUUCCUGCAAAAGGUCAAAGUAAUAAUAUUCAUUCUUCCUGCAUCUCAUGGAUGGUUUGAAUCAUAAGAGUAGUGUUAUGACAUAAGACAACCUAUUUUCAAAGUGUGUUAAAUUGAUCAUGUUGUAUUAAUCUAUCCCUAAAACUGGUUGUAUUCGAAUUACAUUUUUCGAUAUAAUUUUUAUUUGAAUCA
This is an RNA transcript of Mangifera indica (mango), 2691 nucleotides long. It is a transcript of the gene named RNA-binding protein BRN1, with no coding region annotated. The record is from RefSeq and is a predicted model, not a curated record. The transcript has 14 exons. NCBI's taxonomy places the organism in Eukaryota, Viridiplantae, Streptophyta, Magnoliopsida, Sapindales, Anacardiaceae.